Molecule: non-coding RNA, 110 nt
Organism: Photobacterium iliopiscarium
Lineage: Bacteria; Pseudomonadati; Pseudomonadota; Gammaproteobacteria; Vibrionales; Vibrionaceae
Source: Rfam
UGCAUGAUUUUAGUAAUCAGGGUCCAGUAAUAAAAAACCCCGUAUUCGGGGUUUUUUAUUAUCUGAAACAUGACCAUUCAGGUAUUUACUGGGCUUUAUGCCCUUUUUUU